UUACGGCCGUAUCACAUUGAAAGAUCGGUUCCCGUACGAUCACCGAAGUUAAGAGAUAUCGAGCUUGGUCAGUACUUAGAUGGGCGUCCGCUUGGGAAUAACAGGUACU
Non-coding RNA from Acanthosepion pharaonis, 109 nucleotides. NCBI's taxonomy places the organism in Eukaryota, Metazoa, Mollusca, Cephalopoda, Sepiida, Sepiidae. The record is from the annotation of a GenBank genome assembly.